CCUACGGGAGACAGCAGUGAGGAAUAUUGGUCAAUGGGCGAGAGCCUGAACCAGCCAAGUCGCGUGAGGGAGUACUGCCCUAUGGGUUGUAAACCUCUUUUGUCGGGGAGCAAAAGCCGGACGUGUCCGGCUGUGAGAGUACCCGAAGAAAAAGCAUCGGCUAACUCCGUGCCAGCAGCCGCGGUAAUACGGGGGAUGCGAGCGUUAUCCGGAUUUAUUGGGUUUAAAGGGUGCGCAGGCGGAUUUUUAAGUCAGCGGUAAAAUCGUGGGGCUCAACCCCAUCCAGCCGUUGAAACUGGGGAUCUAGAGUGUGCGAGAGGUAUGCGGAAUGCGUGGUGUAGCGGUGAAAUGCAUAGAUAUCACGCAGAACCCCGAUUGCGAAGGCAGCAUACCGGUGCACAACUGACGCUCAGGCACGAAAGCGUGGGUAUCGAACAGGAUUAGAUACCCCUGUAGUC
This 458-nucleotide ribosomal RNA is filed under the name uncultured bacterium. RNAcentral's name for it is "partial 16S ribosomal RNA". It matches the Rfam family "Bacterial small subunit ribosomal RNA", at positions 338 to 795 of the family's 1533-position model. The record is from RNAcentral.